UACGUAGGGGGCUAGCGUUGUCCGGAUUUAUUGGGCGUAAAGAGCGUGUAGGCGGCCAGGUAGGUCUGGUGUGAAAACUCGAGGCUUAACCUUGAGAUGUCAUCGGAAACCAUUUGGCUAGAGUCCGGAAGAGGAGAGUGGAAUUCCUGGUGUAGCGGUGAAAUGCGCAGAUAUCAGGAAGAACACCCGUGGCUAAGGCGGCUCUCUAGUACGGUACUGACGCUGAGACGCGAAAGCGUGGGGAGCGAACAGG
RNAcentral lists this ribosomal RNA (253 nucleotides) under uncultured bacterium. RNAcentral describes it as "partial 16S ribosomal RNA". It matches the Rfam family "Bacterial small subunit ribosomal RNA", at positions 524 to 776 of the family's 1533-position model. The record is from RNAcentral.